UACGUAGGGGGCAAGCGUUGUCCGGAUUUAUUGGGCGUAAAGAGCGUGUAGGCGGUUUGGUAGGUCCGUUGUGAAAACUCGAGGCUCAACCUCGAGACGCCGAUGGAAACCAUCAGACUAGAGUCCGGAAGAGGAGAGUGGAAUUCCUGGUGUAGCGGUGAAAUGCGCAGAUAUCAGGAAGAACACCCGUGGCUAAGGCGGCUCUCUGGGAAUGUCCUGACGCUGAGGAGCGAAAGUGUGGGGAGCGAACAGG
Molecule: ribosomal RNA, 253 nt
Filed under: uncultured bacterium
Lineage: Bacteria
Description: partial 16S ribosomal RNA
Rfam family: Bacterial small subunit ribosomal RNA
Source: RNAcentral